This 76-nucleotide transfer RNA is filed under the name [Eubacterium] siraeum. RNAcentral's name for it is "tRNA-Thr". It matches the Rfam family "tRNA". Rfam says of the family: Transfer RNA (tRNA) molecules are approximately 80 nucleotides in length. The record is from RNAcentral. RNAcentral also lists the same sequence under 7 other names. Lineage: Bacteria; Bacillati; Bacillota; Clostridia; Eubacteriales; Oscillospiraceae.
GCUGGUGUAGCUCAGUCGGUAGAGCAGCGCAUUCGUAAUGCGCAGGUCGGGGGUUCGAGUCCGUUCACCAGCUCCA